AUUGAACGCUGGCGGCAGGCCUAACACAUGCAAGUCGAAUGGUAACAGGAAACAGCUUGCUGUUUCGCUGACGAGGGGCGGACGGGUGAGUAAUGUCUGGGAAACUGCCUGAUGGAGGGGGAUAACUACUGGAAACGGUAGCUGAUACCGCAUAACGUCGCAAGACCAAAGAGGGGGACCUUCGGGCCUCUUGCCAUCAGAUGUUCCCAGAUGGGAUUAGCUAGUAGGUGGGGUAACGGCUCACCUAGGCGACGAUCCCUAGCUGGUCUGAGAGGAUGACCAGCCACACUGGAACUGAGACACGGUCCAGACUCCUACGGGAGGCAGCAGUAGGGAAUAUUGCACAAUGGGCGCAAGCCUGAUGCAGCCAUGCCGCGUGUAUGAAGAAGGCCUUCGGGUUGUAAAGUACUUUCAGCGGGGAGGAAGGGAGUAAAGUUAAUCCCUUUGCUCAUUGACGUUACCCGCAGAAGAAGCACCGGCUAACUCCGUG
This 490-nucleotide ribosomal RNA is filed under the name uncultured bacterium. RNAcentral's name for it is "partial 16S ribosomal RNA". It matches the Rfam family "Bacterial small subunit ribosomal RNA", at positions 30 to 507 of the family's 1533-position model. The record is from RNAcentral.